This 468-nucleotide ribosomal RNA is filed under the name uncultured bacterium. Its description in RNAcentral is "partial 16S ribosomal RNA". It matches the Rfam family "Bacterial small subunit ribosomal RNA", at positions 28 to 507 of the family's 1533-position model. The record is from RNAcentral.
GACGAACGCUGGCGGCGUGCUUAACACAUGCAAGUCGAACGGAAAGGCCCUGCUUUUGUGGGGUGCUCGAGUGGCGAACGGGUGAGUAACACGUGAGUAACCUGCCCUUGACUUUGGGAUAACUUCAGGAAACUGGGGCUAAUACCGGAUAGGAGCUCCUGCUGCAUGGUGGGGGUUGGAAAGUUUCGGCGGUUGGGAAUGGACUCGCGGCUUAUCAGCUUGUUGGUGGGGUAGUGGCUUACCAAGGCUUUGACGGGUAGCCGGCCUGAGAGGGUGACCGGCCACAUUGGGACUGAGAUGCGGCCCAGACUCCUACGGGAGGCAGCAGUGGAGAAUAUUGCACAAUGGGCGGAAGCCUGAUGCAGCAACGCCGCGUGCGGGAUGACGGCCUUCGGGUUGUAAACCGCUUUCGCCUGUGACGAAGCGUGAGUGACGGUAAUGGGUAAAGAAGCACCGGCUAACUACGUG